GACGAACGCUGGCGGCGUGCCUAAUACAUGCAAGUCGAACGCAGUGGGGACGGGUGAGUAACACGUGGGUAACCUCCCAUCAGAGGGGAUAACACUUGGAAACAGGUGCUAAACCGAUACUGAUGGAUGGACCCGCUGUGCAUUAGCCAGUUGGUGAGGUAACGGCUAACCAAGGCCACGAUGCAUAGCCGGCCUGAGAGGGUGAUCGGCCACACUGGGACUGAGACACGGCCCAGACUCCUACGGGAGGCAGCAGUAGGGAAUCUUGGGCAAUGGACGAAAGCCUGACCGAGCAAUGCCGCGUGAGUGAAGAAGGUUUUCGGAUCGUAAAACUCUGUUGUUGGAGAAGCGGUAUCUAAACAGAAAGCAACGGCUAACUACGUGCCAGCAGCCGCGGUAAUUC
Molecule: ribosomal RNA, 403 nt
Filed under: uncultured bacterium
Lineage: Bacteria
Description: partial 16S ribosomal RNA
Rfam family: Bacterial small subunit ribosomal RNA
Source: RNAcentral